GAGAGAGAUUAAUCAGAUCUAACGUUGAGGAAUUAAUUAAAGGUAAAGCCUCCUUGAACAGUCUAGUUGGGAUAGGAUCUAAAAGACAUGUUGAUGGUUUGGAUGUAGAAACUAUUGAAAUGAGUUCAGAGAGAUGUAUGGGGGUGAAAAAUUCUAAAUAUCCAUCUGGUCUUACAGCCAGUUCUAAAGUAAUCAGCUCCAGAUUCCUUAGAGACUGUGCAGACCAGCUCUGUCAGGUGCUGCUGCACAUCUUUAACCUGAGCCUGAGUCUGGAGAGGGUUCCUGUGUUAUGGAAGACUUCCUGCCUGGUUCCUGUCUCUAAGACCAGGAACCCCAGGGAGCCUAACCACUUCAGACCUGUGGCCCUCACUUCUCACCUGAUGAAGACCAUGGAGAGGAUCGUCCUCAGGAACCUCUGUCCCCAGGUGAGCCAGUAUCUGGAUCCACUGCAGUUCGCCUACCAACCGAACAUUGGAGUGGAUGAUGCAGUGGUCUACCUGCUGCACAGAUCCAUGACUCACCUGUAGGGGCUUUCGACCAAAGAGCACCAGGUGCUAGGUUGGUUCAAAGUUGAGAGCCAGUGCUUUUUUGGUUCAAAUCUCGUGCCGCCCCAGAACGGGUUUGUGUUUCCAUUCAGAAGGAGCAAGUUGGAGCUGCGUCAUUGCGCCACCACAAAACGUGUGUACGUCACUGCGUACGUAGCUGUUCAACAGCGUUCACGCCAUACGGAAACCCACACAACAACAAUGGAGGACUUCAUUAGAGUGGUGUACAUGGCUUUGCUAGUGUGUCUCGCCAUCGCUGAACAGCAAAACCUUCUGUUAGAGGUCACCCAUCGGCGUCGCCGUUCCAAUGCCCGGCGAUCACGUUUGAGAAGAAAGAUGUUUUUAGAUGUCACCCCGCCCUCUGCCCGUGACGUGCUCGGCUCUCAACUCUGGCCACCUCUGGCCCAGCAACGAGUUGGUGCCCGAAACGGCCCCAGUUUUUGGAGCCGGGAGCCGCAGCUCCGGUGGUCGAAACACAAAAAACCGGCGCCAAAUCGGGCGCCGGCUCCAACUCCGAACGGGCUCCACCCGGUCGAAAAGAGGGUCUGGAGAACCCCGGCAGCACUGUGAGGGUCAUGUUCUUUGACUUCUGCAGUGCUUUCAACACAAUCCAGCCUUCUCUGCUCAGGGUGAAGCUUGAAGGAGCAGGAGUAGACUGUCACCUGGCUGCUUGGACCAUCGACUACCUCACCAACAGACCACAGUACGCGAGGCUUCAGGACUGUGUGUCUGAUGUGGUAGUCAGCAGCAUGGAGGUCCACAGGGGACAGUCUGUCCUCCUUUCUCUUCACCCUGUACAAAUCGGACUUCCAUUACAACUCUGGGAGCUGUCACCUCCAGAAGUUCUCCGAUGAUACAGCCAUUGUCAGGUGUGUAUCUGAGAGGGACUAGCAGGAGUACAGGACGGUCAUCUCUGACUUUGUUGACUGGUGUGGGCUAAACCAUCUGCAGAUCAACACCAGUAAGACAAAGGAGAUGAUGAUCGACUUCCGCAGGAGGAGGACACCCCAGACUGCACCGGUGAACAUCCAGGGUUUGGACAUUGAGAUGGUGGACUCAUACAAAUACCUGGGUGUUCACCUCAACAAUAAACUGGACUGGUCACACAAUACAGAGGUUCUGUACAAGAAGGACCAAAGUCGUCUCCACCUGCUGAGGAGACUGAGGUCCUUUGGAGUGUGCAGGACUCUGCUCAGGACAUUCUAUGACUCUGUGGUAGUGUCUGCUAUCUUCUAUGCGCUGGUCUGCUGGGGAGCAGGGAGCACUGAAAGGGACAGAAAGAGACUAAACAGAAGGUCAGGAGGAGGUUCUGUCCUGGACUGUUCCCUGGACUCCAUAGAGGAGGUGGGUGAGAGGAGGAUGUUGGCAAAGCUCACAUCCAUCAUGGACAAUCCCUCUCACCCACUGCAUGACACUGUGGGGUCUUUAAGCAGCUCCUUCAGCAGCAGACUGAGACAUCCACCCUGCAAGAAAGAGCGCUAUCGCAGGUCCUUCAUUCCAUCUGCUAUAAGACUUUACAACAUCAGCAUCAGUGGCUGAUGUUAACAUAAACUGGACUAUAUCAUUACCACCCCAAACCAUAAAAUUUGCAGACAUCAUUGCACUGCUACAUCUUUGCACUUUUUAAACUUAUUUUUUUAAGCCAC
Molecule: long non-coding RNA, 2191 nt
Organism: Amphiprion ocellaris (clown anemonefish)
Lineage: Eukaryota; Metazoa; Chordata; Actinopteri; Pomacentridae
Source: Ensembl